AAACCAUAAAUCGAGCAUUUUCUAAUUAAUUCCUUGAAAUGCCAUCAUGCCUUAUAUAAUGUCUCAUCUUCAGAUUUUCUAAAUGAUGUAAUGUCAUUCCUCAGCUU
This is a non-coding RNA of Gossypium raimondii (Peruvian cotton), 107 nucleotides long. The record is from Rfam. Lineage: Eukaryota; Viridiplantae; Streptophyta; Magnoliopsida; Malvales; Malvaceae.